Molecule: ribosomal RNA, 267 nt
Filed under: uncultured bacterium
Lineage: Bacteria
Description: partial 16S ribosomal RNA
Rfam family: Bacterial small subunit ribosomal RNA
Source: RNAcentral
UUGCCGGCGACCGGCGCACGGGUGAGUAACACGUAUGCAACCUGCCCGUCUCAGGGGGAUAAUCGUCGGAAACGGCGUCUAAUACCCCGUAUGAAGCUGGACGGCAUCGUCUGGUUUUGAAAGAAUAUCGGAGACGGAUGGGCAUGCGGCGCAUUAGCUAGUUGGCGGGGUAACGGCCCACCAAGGCGACGAUGCGUAGGGGUUCUGAGAGGAAGGUCCCCCACACUGGUACUGAGACACGGACCAGACUCCUACGGGAGGCAGCAG